Non-coding RNA from Punica granatum (pomegranate), 3792 nucleotides. The record is from RefSeq and is a predicted model, not a curated record. NCBI's taxonomy places the organism in Eukaryota, Viridiplantae, Streptophyta, Magnoliopsida, Myrtales, Lythraceae.
UUAAUCUCAGUCUCAUUCCCUCUUGUCUCCUCUCCACUGCCACUGCCUUUUCUCUCUCCUCACGAAGGCUCUCCAAUCUCCAUCCCACCCAUGGAGCCACCUCCCCCCAAGGCCCCGCCCCCUUCCCCCGCCGUCGGAUUCAACCGCCUCCUCCCCACACUCUUCCUACGCCAACAAUUGGGACCCGAACCUCCCCGCCGCCGACCACGGCAUGCCAUCGAAGCUACGGCUAAUGUGCAGCUAUGGCAGCCAUAUCAUCCCCAGGCCCCACGACAAUUCCCUCUGUUACGUUGGCGGAGAGACCCGCAUCAUGGUCAUCCCCAGACCCACAUCGUCGGCGACGAGACCCGGCCCUUCACCCUCAAGUACCAGCUCCCCAAUGAGGACCUCAACUCCCUCAUCACCGUCUCUGCUGACGAGGACCUCGACAACAUGAUCGACGACCACAACCGUAUUAUACAUUGAAAGGGCAAUUUAGUCUUCAAAAUUUAAUUUUAUCCCAUUCUUUAUCUAUUUCGAGGUGAGACCAAACAAAAAAAAAUUGAUCCACAUUCACAAUUCUAAUCCCUUCAAAGUCAAAUUCCCUCCUUAUUCUAAUCCCCUCAAUUCCUAUCCUACCAACCAAAAGCCACGGUGGUUUCCUUAACAAUUGUCUUAUAGGUUUCCCGAUCAAGGAGAAGUCAAGAGCUCAAGAAGGUGGUCCAUCCCCAAUCCUUGGAGCUCCCAUUCAAGCACGAUUCGCCCUCCUAGGUGCCACCUUCACCGACCCCCUCUUGAAGGAUUCCCGAAGUUCUCCCGCGUUUCUGAACUUACGAUUUAGGUAUAACUUCUAAACUUGGUUCAUAAUAUGAGUAAAACGAUUUAUAGGAAUUGGACACUCCAUGAACACCUAAAAUAAAAUCAUGUGGCUAAUAAUCGGGUUUAGGAUGUUAGAUUACAGGUAGAUAGGCCUCUGUGAGGUGUUUGUACAUGUUUUGUGUGUGUUAUGCUUGAUUUUUAGUGUAGAAAAGCCGAGAGAUGGGGAAAGGAGAGUAGGUUAACAUGCAUAAUCACUAGAGCCGACCUUUAGGACCGAUAAAAGUUCAUCCAUUUUGCGCUUGUGUGUUUCAGUGCCUUGAAAUUCUUUUUUUCCAAACUUUUUCAUGUUUUCACUUCAGUCCAAAUCGGUUUUCUGAACCUCAUCCGUUUCCAAACUCAGCUGAAAUUUUUUCCCGCGUCUUCCUAUGAGCUGUUAAGGCUACGCACUCAGUUUCAGUGAUUUAUGGGCGCUGACACUCAUUUUAUGGCCUUUUUCCGAACUUUACAGACUGUUACAAAUCAGUCCAGAGGCAUGCUUCAAACUUUUCUAAGUUUCCAAAUCAGCCCAAAUGGUUAAAAACAUGUUUUUCCAUCCGGAAAACCCGAUUCCCACUCGUUUUUAGCUCAGGCCGUGCCUUUUCCUGACUUUACAGAUUGGCCCCUGAAUGUUCCAGAACUAUAGAAUGACACCAGAACGAUUGGGACAUGCUUAGCUUUGUCCCUGGGAACCCGAUCUGUCAUUUCGGGGCCUCUUUGAUAAGUUUUGGGCACUCAAAAGGCUUUUAUGAACUUUUUCCAGUCUUACAGAUUCGUCCACGAACUUCUCCGAGCUGUAAAUCGGACCCAAAAUCAUGAGAAACGUUUCCAGAAUGUUCCCAGGCCAUAAACGUUGCAGUUGGGGCUUUUCGAGUGAUUUUUGGGUGUUUUUGAACAGAUUUCGUAAACUUUUCCAGUUUUACAGAUUGGCCCCUGAACUUUACUGAGCUGUGAAACAGCCCCAGAACAUGUCGGACAUUCUCAGAGUGAUCCCUGAGCUGUGAGCUCCGAGUUUUGGGGCCUCCCGGGUGAUUUUUGGGCAAUUUACACGCAUUUUUGGGCAUUUUUCCUAAUUUUACAGAUUUGCCCGAACAUUUCCAGAAUCAGUAGAUCAGCCCUCACUCAUUUCCAGCAUUUUCAAAUCAGCUCCUCGACAUAUUAAAUCGAAUUAAAUGCUAUGUUUGUGUGAUGGAAGAAAAUAAUUCGGCAAUUCACAUGCUCGGGUUUAUAUGAGUGAGUUCAUGACAAGUGAAUCAAGUGGAUUGUGAGCAAGACCACGACAUUAGGAUUAAUCAACUCGGAAAAGUAAUAAAAUGGGCACUUUAGACGAUUAGGGUACCGAUAAAAGCGGGUUAUUGGCUUGCGAGCUUCUAACCUGUAAUAGAAACCCCGAACUUGGAUCUUCUAGACCGAGGUCCGACAAAAACUUAGGUGGUUAGCGUCAUGCUCCGUUUAGGAAUUAUAGAAUUCUAGUUAGCCUAAAAUUAACUAGUGGCGGCUCCAUCAAUUACUCCACACCGAUUUUUGAAUGUCCCUCAUUCUAGUUGGUACCACAUGUCGACAGACGAGUAGGUGAAGUGCAAAUCAACUUGCAUGAUGGUAGUGAGAUGUUGUUGGUUGACUUUAGGCAUGUACCUAGAAUAAAGAAAAAUUCAAUCUUAUUGGAAACACUUGAGAAGUUGGGUUAUAAGCACAGGUGCCAAUGUGGAGUCGUAAGAAUCUCGAUGGACCCCCUCCCAGUGAUGAGGGGACUUUUGUAAAAGGAUUUGGAAGAUCUACAAGAAAGUUUGUCAAUUUCAAAGAUCGAGCCCAAAAAAAAGGUACUUGGAGUCACUUGGGUAUGGCAGUGACUUGCUUGUUGGUGAGCUGAAAAAUCACAAGUUGCACGCACAUGGGUGUUCAGAUGGGAAGGUCUGGGGGGAAGGCAGACAACAUUUUUACAGAAGUAUUCGCACACAGGAGACAGACAGGGAGCAUAUGAGACUUAUGGAAAUGCGGUGGGUUUGUGGAGUAGGUGGUCUCAUGAAAUGUUAAAGUUAGGAGUAUGACUUUUAAACAUGUUAGCUUUGGAGUGUCCACAAAGGGAAAGCCGAUGAAGUCUGAUACUUCGGACGAGUCCAAAGUUGGCUUGGACUUGAGUAAUAACAUAGAAUGAGGUGAAGCCCUUGAAAGGCUGUGAUAAAGCAAGUAAAUGGAGACCAAUGCAAUACUUGAUGGAAUAAUUGUUAAGGUGGGAAUUUAUUGAGGUGUGUCUCGUGUUCACCCAAAAGCCUAAAAGACCCCCAAAGACUUAGAAACAAGGACGAGAUCAACCAGAACGAGGAGGGGAGUUGGAAACAUGCUAGUGCCAUCGAAAAUGGCAGCACUACGGCAUCUUAGGCCAGAUUGUCGUGGCAAAAGGGCAACAGUGCUGCGAUAAUGAGAGGUCAUCAAGCUACUCUAAACGACCCCCUGUUUCCUUUCAUGACGCAAUUUUGCGGAGUCUCAUAAUAUAUUCAAAGGGUAUAUUUUCUAGAGAUAUUUUGGAUAUUUGAGGUGAGUCUACUAAGACAUAACACGCUUGUGAGUGUAGGAAUGACCGAUAAUUAAUUAUUUUUUAGUUUAAUUUGUUGAAGUCUCCUAAUUUGGUAGAGAGAGUGGUAAGAAUUAAAAGAACUAUGAGGCUUCUUAGGGUUGGGUCUUGUAAUGGGAGUUGAAAAACACGAGUGCGGUCUCGGGAUUAUAGUUUAUAAUUUAUCGAUUUAGUGGAAAUUCCAAAAUGGAUGUUUCUCCCGGUUAGGGGGUCUUAUCAAGUGUAUCUUGGUGUAGGUAUUCUUUCUUCUCUAUUUAAAUCCUAUAGCGACACUCGUCCCUAACGACUCACAAUUUUACCCCAUGCAUAUAGGUAUGUUUCUUUUUUUUGGUGGAUCAUAUAUAUAUAUGUUAAAUGUUACCAACAUAUGCAUAUGGUUAUUCUUC